RNAcentral lists this ribosomal RNA (78 nucleotides) under Actinophytocola xinjiangensis. Its description in RNAcentral is "partial 23S ribosomal RNA". Lineage: Bacteria; Bacillati; Actinomycetota; Actinomycetes; Pseudonocardiales; Pseudonocardiaceae. The record is from RNAcentral. RNAcentral also lists the same sequence under 1 other name.
GAUGAGGUAGAUAGGUCUCGUGUGGAAGCGUGGCGACACGUGAAGCUGAGAGAUACUAAUCGAUCGAGGGCUUAACCA